ACUCCUACGGGAGGCAGCAGUGGGGAAUUUUCCGCAAUGGGCGAAAGCCUGACGGAGCAAGACCGCGUGCGGGAGGAAGGUCUAUUGAUUGUAAACCGCUUUUGAUAGGGAAGAAGAUCUGACGGUACCUAUCGAAUCAGCAUCGGCUAACUCCGUGCCAGCAGCCGCGGUAAUACGGGGGAUGCAAGCGUUAUCCGGAAUUAUUGGGCGUAAAGCGUCCGUAGGUGGUUUUAAAAGUCUGUUGUCAAAUCGCGAGGCUUAACCUCGUACAGGCAGUGGAAACUAUAAGACUAGAGUGCGGUAGGGGUAGAGGGAAUUUCCAGUGUAGCGGUGAAAUGCGUAGAUAUUGGAAAGAACACCGGUGGCGAAGGCGCUCUACUGGGCCUGCACUGACACUGA
RNAcentral lists this ribosomal RNA (399 nucleotides) under uncultured bacterium. RNAcentral describes it as "bacterial SSU rRNA". It matches the Rfam family "Bacterial small subunit ribosomal RNA", at positions 335 to 749 of the family's 1533-position model. The record is from RNAcentral.